CCAUGCCGUAAACGUUGGGCACUAGGUGUGGGGGACAUUCCACGUUUUSCGCGCCGUAGCUAACGCAUUAAGUGCCCCGCCUGRGRGAGUACGGCCGCAAGGCUAAAACUCAAAGGAAUUGACGGGGGCCCGCACAAGCGGCGGAGCAUGCGGAUUAAUUCGAUGCAACGCGAAGAACCUUACCAAGGCUUGACAUGGACCGGACCGGGCURGAAACAGUCCUUCCCUUCGGGGCUGGUUCACAGGUGGUGCAUGGUUGUCGUCAGCUCGUGUCGUGAGAUGUUGGGUUAAGUCCCGCAACGAGCGCAACCCUCGUUCCAUGUUGCCAGCGGGUUAUGCCGGGGACUCAUGGGAGACUGCCGGGGUCAACUCGGAGGAAGGUGGGGACGACGUCAAAUCAUCAUGCCCCUUAUGUCUUGGGCUUCACGCAUGCUACAAUGGCCGGUACAAUGGGUUGCGAUACUGUGAGGUGGAGCUAAUCCCAAAAAGCCGGUMUCAGUUCGGAUUGGGGUCUGCAACUCGACCCCAUGAAGUCGGAGUC
RNAcentral lists this ribosomal RNA (541 nucleotides) under Arthrobacter cupressi. Its description in RNAcentral is "bacterial SSU rRNA". Lineage: Bacteria; Bacillati; Actinomycetota; Actinomycetes; Micrococcales; Micrococcaceae. The record is from RNAcentral.